AAUUAUCAAAGCAAAUAUUUUCGUUAAUUCGACUGCCUUUGCUUUGGACUUGGGGGCCUGCAGAUUUCACAGUCUGCUCCUCUUAAAUGCAUCAGCUGGAUUCUCGGUGAGCUCGGUUCCACUCGGCGUGAUAAGUAUCACUCGCUGAGGACGCCCGUUAAAAAAGGUGGCCAGGCUCGCAGAUGAACUGCUUCCAACGGUCUAUUGACUUAGACAAUGAAUUUACG
RNAcentral lists this unclassified non-coding RNA (227 nucleotides) under uncultured Thanatephorus. Its description in RNAcentral is "sequence contains ITS2". Lineage: Eukaryota; Fungi; Basidiomycota; Agaricomycetes; Cantharellales; Ceratobasidiaceae. The record is from RNAcentral.